AGAGAGGAUUCUUGUUUUUACGGGUACAUGCCUCACGGUACGCUUCACGAAUCACGAUCAUUUACAUAAGAAGAACUACAGGAUAGUGUACAAGGAUCUCCUAAGAGUAAACAUAAGAAGAACUUGUUAUUAAUGAGGCCACAACUUCUUAAAUCAGUUUUGAAAACCCUUUUUCAAAAAACUUCUUAAAUCAGUGUUCACAUGAACUCUUAUGUGUUUUUUUUUCUGAUUUAGACCUAAGAUAUAUCUGGCAUAUUGACACUAGUAACACUACAUUGGUGUUCCAAGAAGAUGUCAUUCUUCGAGUUAUAUUCAAAGACGCAUGCAUUUUCAGAAAAUCCUCACAUAUAAUUUUUUUUUUAAAAACCGUGGAAGUUAUGCGACCACCUAUGCUUAUAAUCUUCUUUACACUUUUGUUUUUGAGUUUGGAAUUUGCCUUAUAAAAGUUUGAUUUGAAGGUUUGAAAAUGAACUACAUGAGAACUAAUCAUCUUACCACUAUAUCAUUAUCAAUUUGUUUUAUAUAUAUUUAUAACAAAAUCAUAGGUUUAGUUAGAAUAGUUUAAUAAAAUAUAUUUAUCAUUCACAACUUGUUAGAAAAUGUUGCAUGCACAACUUGAUGCAUCUCUCGAUACCCACUCUAUAUUUUAUUUGAUAUUAUAUUUAAACAACAUGUUAUUAUGCGAUACCCACUCUUGAUGCGAUUCUAUAUCACUUUCUUUAAUUUUUUUUUUAAUUUCGAAUCGCACUACCUUGAUGUGGAAAUUGUUUAAACUGAUAAAUACCUGUAAAUGAUCAGGAUUAUAAUUUCCAAAACUUAUAAUUUAAAGCUAUCAUUUAUCGAUAUGCAAGUUCACGUAAUAAUCAAGGAUUCCUUAAAUAGUUAAAAUUGUUCGUCCGUGCUAUCUGUCUUUCUUUAAUAUAUGUUUUGUUUGUAUUUUGUGUGAUGCUUUUCGCUAACGGGUAAUCUUAACUUUCUAUUCAUAUUCUAAUUUUAGCUAAUGGUUUUAGAAUUUAAACAGUUUAAGAGCUCUUACUUUUCUUAAAAGCCUGUAUAGUUUUUUUUGGCGAAAUCAAAAUAUACAAAUUAUUCAAAGACUAGAGAACAAACUUGAUAUGAGUUCCAAAACAUUAGUUAAUCUUUCGGUCUAAUUAAGAACAUUAUCUUGGCACAAAGUAAUAUUAUUAUAAAUUUCUAAUAAACUAAUCUGUAGUAUACUUUGUUGAGAACAAAACUAAUUAAU
Molecule: long non-coding RNA, 1243 nt
Filed under: Brassica napus (rape)
Lineage: Eukaryota; Viridiplantae; Streptophyta; Magnoliopsida; Brassicales; Brassicaceae
Description: long non-coding RNA (BNAP_LNC017986)
Source: RNAcentral